RNAcentral lists this long non-coding RNA (401 nucleotides) under Carica papaya (papaya). RNAcentral describes it as "long non-coding RNA (CPAP_LNC003408)". The record is from RNAcentral. Lineage: Eukaryota; Viridiplantae; Streptophyta; Magnoliopsida; Brassicales; Caricaceae.
UCUUCAAUGUUAAGGAAAAAACUACGCUCCGAAUCAAAUCCACUAUUAACAAAAAUAAGUACAAGAUAAUUCAGCAAGAAUUAAAUUUAAAAAAUAAUAAUAAUUUUUCUUUAUGCAUAACUUAAGGGAAAGGUAAACAAAAAUCAAAUUAAACUUUCCUUAAAAAAACGAAAUAGUUGACCUCACUGAUGAGAGAAUGACCCCUUCCUUCUUUUCUUUUCUCUUGGCUGCCACUCUACCAUACGUAUAUGUAUAUAUAUAUAUAUAUACCCUUUCCUAUUUUUCUUCUUCUUCAUUUUCUCUCUUUUUUCUUCUUUCUCUCUUUCUUUUCCACACAGCCUCUCUCUUUCUCUGAACAUUUUUUUUUUUAUGCAACAUACAUAUAUAUAAGGAAACUAACA